UAUUGCACAAUGGGGGGAACCCUGAUGCAGCGACGCCGCGUGGGUGAAGGAGCGUUUCGGCGCGUAAAGCCCUAUCGGCAGGGAAGAAGGAGGACGGUACCUGACUACGAAGCCCCGGCUAACUACGUGCCAGCAGCCGCGGUAAUACGUAGGGGGCAAGCGUUAUCCGGAUUUACUGGGUGUAAAGGGGGCGCAGACGGCAGCGCAAGCCAGGAGUGAAAGCCCGGGGCCCAACCCCGGGACUGCUCUGGAAACUGCCUGGCUGGAGUACAGGAGAGGUAAGUGGAAUUCCUAGUGUAGCGGUGAAAUGCGUAGAUAUUAGGAGGAACACCAGUGGCGAAGGCGGCUUACUGGACUGUAACUGACGUUGAGGCUCGAAAGCGUGGGGAGCAAACAGG
This 398-nucleotide ribosomal RNA is filed under the name uncultured bacterium. RNAcentral describes it as "bacterial SSU rRNA". It matches the Rfam family "Bacterial small subunit ribosomal RNA", at positions 362 to 776 of the family's 1533-position model. The record is from RNAcentral.